UUUUUUUUUUUUUUUUUUUGGUCUUUUUAGGGUCUCACUGUUGGCAUACGGAGGUUUCUAGGCUAGGAAUCCAGUCGGAGCUAUAGCUGCCAGCCUACGCCACAGCCACAGCAAUGCCAGAUCCGAGCCUCGUCUGUGACCUACACCAUAGCUCACGGCCACGCCGGAUCCUUAACCCACUGAGCGAGGCCAGGGAUUGAACCUGCAACCUCAUGGUUCCUAGUCGGAGUAGUUUCUGCUGCGCCACAGUGGGAACGCCCCUUUUUUCUUUGUUUUUUAAAUUCUGUCUUGGAAUCAUUAUUGCAUGGUUUUUGUGUGUGCUUUGUCUCCCUUCAUGCUUGUAGAGGUGCUGUGAGAUAGCGUUGUAUAGAAGCAGCGGUGCAUGGCUGUUGCUCUGCGUAGAUGGAGGCCGGGCAAGACCUGUGUGCUCUCUGUUCCACAAUGGCUGCUUCCUGCCUGCCUGUCCCGGGGCAGAGUGGGGGGUGUGUGUGUGGGUAAGUGGGUGCUCUGUGAUCUGGAGGAGGCAGAGAUAAGGGAAAGGGACAAUGGAGAAUAAGAAGCUUGGGGCUCUGAGGAGCUGCGGCCUAGGACGGGUGCGCUGCGGCAGGUGGCUGAGGUCUGGCCUUGAGUGAACUUUUUGCAUCGGAACAAAUAUAUUUGGUCAACUAAGCCCUAGUUCUGCCUUUAAUUCUUGAAUUAGAGGUCAGGCAUUCAUUUUUAAUAGUGUAUGGAAAUUCUGAUAAUGGGAAUAGAUUUCUUUCCUUUUAGUUUUCAAGAAGGAACUGAAAAACUGGAUUACACCCUGAUACUUCUGUAGGGUUGUACAAAAUAAGACAGAAUCUGGAUUCAUUUUGUGAUGGUGACUUUACCGAGGUAGAUAUUAUUAUUCUCCAUCAGAAUAUCUAGAAAUACUCUUCCAUUCUCAUUUUUGUCCUCUUAAACUGCUGGAGUGUGCAGAUAAGACAUUUCACAGGAUUGAGAUUUCCUUUGCUCACUUUGCUAAGCCCUGUGUUCUCUGGCUCUUGCAUGCCUGAUUUUUGCUGAUUGCAGGGUCUUAAUAAUGUUUUAAAUUUUCUUCUUUGUCCAAGGGUAUAACUUUACUGUGGAGGGCAAAAUCAUGAUUCUCCAUGGUCUAGGGCUUUUAGGCACUUCUAAACUCCUAAUUUUCAUUUAUGUGGCUUAGUUUCUCCAUUAGACCAUACCAUUAGGGAGUUGUCAUACAGGAGAAAAAGGCGGCUUGACCUUACGGCAGAAACAUCUAAAUGUUUGACAGAUAAAUUUUUUUGGAAAGAAAGUGUGUUUUAGAUAGAGCAUCUAAGCUUUCAGUGCAUUGUAGGGAGAAAGUCCUCUUGAGGCUUCACCCAGUGGUACCAAAGCUGAGACCUCAUGGAGGGUGGCUCUAGGCUCAGUGAAGAGUAGAUUAGAUAAUUGCUUUUGCCCAGUCAACUCAGGCUUUUUUCUGUCUUUGAAUAAAAUAAGCACCAUUCCCUGACUGCUCUAGGAACCAAAUAAAACUUUCAAAAGAGCUGGUUUAGUAGAAAUAAUGUUUACUUUUCAUAGAUUUGUGUGUAUGUUUUUUAAAAAUUCAGUAAAUGGACACAAGACCGUUUGCUAAAAAGCUUGUAUCCAGAAAGGUGAUUUAGAAUUUUUUGUUCAUUUAUCAAAUACCUGAGUACCUCCCCUGUGUCCUGUGUUCUCACCAGACUCUAUGGGAGACUUGCAGAUGCAUCAUCGGAUGUUGACCCUGGUGACGUGGAGCUUGUCCCUCAGUGGGGAGGCAGAUGCUUGGGGCAGGAGGUCAGGUGCGAUCCAGUGUGGAGGAGAGAGCAGUGACCUCUCUCUGAAGGGGAGGGAAUUAGACAGGGUUGCAUGGAGAAGGAGGCAUUCGAUCUGAAUAUUGAAGUAAAGUCGUUUGGUGGGAAAUGAGCUUUUUCCGUAGGUUUUCUAGCACAGGAGUUACGUGGUUACAGUUGUGCUUUAAGAAAACUAUUUCUGGGAUGUGAUCAAAGAUAGAGACCAGAGACUGAGAGGAACCAAUGCAAAACUAACCUUUCUAAGUGGUAGUGGAAACAGAGGUAGAGUUCAUUGAACUUGGCAGUUGGAGCAAUGCAUGGUAUCAAAUGAGGUUUUGUUUUUUUUUUUUUUAAGCCUCAAUAGGUAAUUAGGAGUAUGGCAAUGCCAUUAAAAUUUGGAAACACAGGAGGAGAAACUGAUUAGUAAGAAGAGAGUAGUAAAUAUAAUCUGCCAUUGAGAAAUUGGGUGAUUUUUUUUGUUGUCGUUAGGCCAAUGGGAAUAUUUAAAUAGACCUGGGAAGAAGCCAGGGUUGAAGAUAGGGAUAUUGAGAGUUGGGGCAGUUGGAGCCUUGAGAUGGAAUGAAAUUGCCAAAGUAUUUAGUAUCAAAUGUAUCUUUACCAAGAAUGUCACGUUGCAAAACCUGAAAAUCCUCUAGUUUUAGGACAGGAGUGCUCCAGAAGAGAGAGAGUAUUGUUUAAAGAACUCAAAUCAUUCUUUGAGCUUUUAUUUCUCUCUGGAAUUCUUUCAGUUUGACUCUCAUCUUGGGGAGAUAGUAAAAGCUAGUAGCUUUAAGCGUGCAAACGGAAAGAUAGGGUUUGAAUCCUUGUUCUGCCACCUACCUGCCAUGUAUCCUUGUCAGAGCUAUAGAUCUUCUUGUGCUUCAGUUUAUUCAUCUCUAAGAUGAAGGUGAUAAUGUGUACCUUAUAGGGUUGUUUCUGGAUUAUCCCAUCAUUUAGCCUGCUGCUUGGAGCAUACUAGGUGCUCCAUAAAUGGUAGCUAAUGUUAAUACUAGAUUCUUGCUGAUUCCCCUGCUUCUGAUCUUAAAGGGUACACUACUCCUUUUAACUCUGAAUUUGUACAGGCUUCCCCCUCCCAUUUUUUUCCACUCAGUACAGACAGACAGACAGACAGACAGACAGACAGACACACACACACACACACACACACACACACACGGAGUUCCCUGGUGGCUCGGGUUAAGGAUCUGGCGUUGUCACUGCUGUGACUCAGGUUGCUGUUAUGGUGC
This 3040-nucleotide long non-coding RNA is filed under the name Sus scrofa (pig). Its description in RNAcentral is "lncRNA (ENSSSCG00055025727.1)". Lineage: Eukaryota; Metazoa; Chordata; Mammalia; Artiodactyla; Suidae. The record is from RNAcentral.